Molecule: transfer RNA, 88 nt
Filed under: Verrucomicrobiota bacterium
Lineage: Bacteria; Pseudomonadati; Verrucomicrobiota
Description: Verrucomicrobia bacterium (microbial mat metagenome) tRNA-Ser
Rfam family: tRNA
About the family: Transfer RNA (tRNA) molecules are approximately 80 nucleotides in length. Their secondary structure includes four short double-helical elements and three loops (D, anti-codon, and T loops).
Source: RNAcentral
GGAUCGGUGGCUGAGUGGUCGAAAGCACACCUUUGCUAAAGGUGCGUGCCUCACAAGGGCACCGAGGGUUCGAAUCCCUCCCGGUCCG